UACGUAGGGUCCGAGCGUUGUCCGGAAUUAUUGGGCGUAAAGGGCUCGUAGGCGGUUUGUCACGUCGGGAGUGAAAACACGGGGCUUAACCCCGUGCCUGCUUCCGAUACGGGCAGACUAGAGGUAUGCAGGGGAGAACGGAAUUCCUGGUGUAGCGGUGGAAUGCGUAGAGAUCGGGAAGAACAUCGGUGGCGAAGGCGGCCAGCUGGGCCAUUGCUGACGCUGAUGCGCGACAGCGUGGGGAGCAAACAGG
RNAcentral lists this ribosomal RNA (253 nucleotides) under uncultured bacterium. RNAcentral describes it as "partial 16S ribosomal RNA". It matches the Rfam family "Bacterial small subunit ribosomal RNA", at positions 524 to 776 of the family's 1533-position model. The record is from RNAcentral.